AAAAAAAAAAAAAAAUUAAAUAAAAAUAAAUAAAAUGUGCCUCGAUGGUGAGCUUUGUUUGUCGUGUUACCAACCCUCCAAUUAAAAAGUUGUAAGAUAGAAGCUUUGUGGGGAAGCUUCUGGUUGUCUUGGCCCCAUCCAGGUUUCCUGUAUAUUCCAGGUUUUUUCUGGCCUCCCUGACUAUCCAGCUAUAGUAUGAGUGAUGGUAACGCCCAAUUUAUCAUCUGGCAGCAGCUGUCUUGUAUACAAAUACAGCUGUGGUGGGAGUUCGUCUAUGGGGAAUACACAUGCUGUGUAUUUGUGGGGUUGAAGUGUUUCCAAUGGUCAACUUCAGGCCCAUAGACUCAGGUUAUUUAUGUAAAUAUAAUCACUCGAAUCGUAGGUACUGUCCAAGGGGAUUAUCACCCCUUGGUUCAGGUCUAUGUCACAGGGGGUCGCUACCCUUCGGGCAGAGCUCCUAUGGAGCAUUCAGUCUCUCCUAGCAGGUCUUAUAUAUACGCCUGCGGGAUGAAAACAUAAGGCUUAAUGAGUCUUUGGGUUGACCAGAGUCUGAGAGUAUAAUGUAUAUAAUUGGUUCACUUCACCCUGAACCCAUUCUCCCACAAUAAUUUGGUGUGUGUUUUACUUAUUUUCGGGCUGUUCUUUCACCUAACGUGCUUGAAUUAUUAAAGCAAAUUUAUAUAUAACAAUAUAUAAAUUCAAGUUAAUGAGACAACACGUUUGUCACCUUCAAACCUGGUUAUAAUCUCAUAGUAACAGGAUAAGCUUGUCAACAGCCACAAAAAGGCGAUAUCCAAUAGUCCAAAGUUCAAAUGUUUCUCUGGGCAUGUAUAAAACCGAAUGAAAGAUCAACUGACCAAUCAUAUGUCAACAACGAACACGCAGAACAAAGGUCAAUGUGAUAAGGGAGUUCACUUUGACAAAUAUCCCAACAAAGAGCAAUGUCUUGUUACCGAGAACGAAAAUUUCCACCCACCCACCCGUUCAUGUUCCUGGUAUCUGGUGCAUUGUAUGGGUACUAACUAAUGUUAUGCAAGGGCUGUUCAAGAACAUUUUGUCAAGAAAGACUAUCGAACAAUUUUCUCAUGGAAAAUUAUCGCUAUGUAAAUACUUAAAUGCAUGGGUUUAUGUUGAAAGAAAUAAACUUUGGUUCGGGGUUGAAGUGUUCCCAAUGGUCAACUUCAGGCCCAUAGACUCAGGUUAUUUAUGUAAAUAUAAUCAGUCGAAUCGUAGGUACUGUCCAAGGGGAUUAUCACCCCUUGGUUCAGGUCUAUGUCAGAGGGGGUCGCUACCCUUCGGGCAGAGCUCCUAUGGAGCAUUCAGUCUCUCCAAGCAGGUCUUAUAUAUACGCCUACGGGAUGAAAACAUAAGGCUUAAUGAGUCUUUGGGUUGACCAGAGUUUGAGAGUAUAAUGUAUAUAAUUGGUUCACUUCACCCUGAACCCAUUCUCCCACAAUGAUUUGGUGUGUGUUUUACUUAUUUUCGGGCUGUUCUUUCACCUAACGUGCUUGAAUUAUUAACGCUUCGGUUACACUUUGCGUUAAAUCACAGUUAAUAGAAUACAUGGGUUGGAGACUCGAUGAAAGUACAAUAUAACUCAUUAACUAUGUUGGUUUCGGUUUAUGCAAGAAUUUGGGCCUAUCUCGUCACGUGUGUAUAGUAUUUUUUUUCCGCACAACCAAUAGUAAUAUUUAAAUUGAGCAUUUGUUCAAGUUACGGAUGGAUAAGUUAAACUCAACCACAAACUUGUUAUUGGUUAUUUGAGCGAAAAUACAAUACGCACGUGACGAGAUAGGACCAAAUUCUUGCAUAAAGCUGGACAAUAACAUAGUUACUGAGUUAUAUUGUACUUCCAUGGAGUCUCCAAACCAUCUAUUAAAAUAACUGUCGUUAAAUUAACCUAUAAGUUGUUACGACAAAUACUCGUUGCUGUGUAAUCAGUUGAACCAUUCUUAUAUACUCGAACUGACGGUAAGACGAAUUUGUAAUUUGACAUAUUUGUGUUGCUUUUCUUUUUAGAAGCUAUAUUAAAUUCCCAGAGGUAUAACAAUGCACGUUUUAACAACAAAAGAGUGAUUUCUAUAGGGGAACGGGGUUUCUUUUUUUUGGGGGGGGGACACCCUGUAGAUCGCUGACCAACUGCAUGCAAGUAGUCACGAGCCGGUUGUUCAAAGACAGGUUAGCUUAACCCCAGGUUAACCUAAACUUCCUGACAGCUUGUCUAUAAAUUUGGAAAUGUUUCUUCAGAAAUCUUGGCUGAGUCGAUAGGAGUUUUCUUCUCUGAAGUUUUGAAUUAAACAGACGUGCAGAAAUACUGACAUAAACUAAAACAGCAGGUUAAAUUUUAACCAAGGGUUAGCGCUAACCCACCUUUGAACAACUGGCCCAGAUUACUCUGACAAGUUUUCUUUGUUGACCCAUACAGACGACCAAAUUUGUACUUGACAAUUUUUACUUUUGUUUUAGCUUCUGAACAAGUGACUUGUUCAAAAGCUAGCAUGCAUAGAUCCAUGCUAGCUCAAGUGUACUUGUCACAGUAAAAAUUGUCAAAGUUGUGUAUACAGACGAGCAAAUGAAACUUGUCCGUAUAUUUGCUCAACCGGAAACGGCAAGGUAGAAGACCAAAUUACUUACAUUUUUGUAUUCGAACCAAAGCAUAUAUCACUAUUCACUAAACUCUAUUUGCCUCUCAAAAAUACUUGUCUUACUCUUAAACAAAACUAUAGAAGUAGUGAAAUAAAACACCCGAACUUCGAACGUUUUAAUUGUUGGCGUGGUUACGAGCCGUGAAAAUAAUGUAAAUAAUUUAACGUCGCGGUUUGAACUUACAGUACGACAUACCAGAAUGCUCAAGGGAAUACAAUUUAUAGUCGCCUUUGAAACUUGUUAAUGGCGUUUCACUGACGGUGCCGCUGUAUUUGUCUAGCUCACUAUUAUUUGGUAACAGCUACAGUAUUAACAGAACAAAUAUACCAAAAUGACAACAAGCCGCACAAGCGGAAAUGGAAGGUCAUGCAUGUAUUUUAGGUGUAAUUAAUUAAUCUCGUGACAUGAUCAUGACUAGUUAUUUUCUCGUAGCAAUGAAGAGUAUAUAGACUAUGGACUAUAGUCUGUAUAAAUUAGUUCUAAAUUGUUCCGACCGUGGUUAUAUUAAAUGUAAAUUGAAGUAACCAAAACAUUUAUAUUGCAAUGAUAUAUCUAGUUCAUUUAUAAUCAGACCGAGUUGAAUAAGGUCACGAGACAGUAAGGUUGAAUUUCACAUUGUUGAUAUAAACAAAGUGAAGUUCAAGCUUUGAUCCAACGGUGAACAGUCCAUCUCACUUCAUUUGGGCUGCCAAGAGCACCAUUGACCCAAGCAUGAACAUGAGCUUUUCCUGCAGCUUUAUCCCAACGUAAUGUGACUUUGCCGUUUCCAUUACCAAUAUUGAGUGUGUCAGAACUCUUGUCUUCGUGAUGCAUUGAAACAUGGAUAGCAUUCUCAGGCACGUCAUAAGUAUAAUCUUCUUUCUUACCGAAACCAAAUGAACCUUUGAGAUUACCCGAACCAAGUUCAAUCUUUAAUGUUGACAUUUUUAAAUAUAUAAUUUAUAUGUUGAUUGCUGCCGAAGGCAGCACACUAUUCUUGACGAUGUGUUUUUCUCGCACCAGUUCGUUU
Paramuricea clavata is the source of this 3655-nucleotide non-coding RNA. NCBI's taxonomy places the organism in Eukaryota, Metazoa, Cnidaria, Anthozoa, Malacalcyonacea, Plexauridae. The record is from the annotation of a GenBank genome assembly.